RNAcentral lists this transfer RNA (85 nucleotides) under Planctomycetota bacterium. Its description in RNAcentral is "Planctomycetes bacterium (anaerobic digester metagenome) tRNA-Leu". It matches the Rfam family "tRNA". From Rfam's summary of the family: Transfer RNA (tRNA) molecules are approximately 80 nucleotides in length. RNAcentral also lists the same sequence under 2 other names. The record is from RNAcentral. Lineage: Bacteria; Pseudomonadati; Planctomycetota.
GCCCGGGUGGCGGAAUUUGGCAGACGCGCUAGCUUGAGGGGCUAGUGAGCUUCGGCUCGUGCUGGUUCGAAUCCAGUCCCGGGCA